ACAGGGGGUCUUCUCUCUUGGCUUUGGAGCUCCCCAUUCCUCUGUGUCUGUAACAGGGGAGCUUCUUCCUUCUUUCUUCUCCCUUCUUUCUUGCCUGUUAAACUCUCUGCUUCUUAAAACCACUCCAUGUAUGUCCAGGUCAUUUUAUCUAAUUUGGAGACGGAGAACCCUGGUGUUCCUCUGCUCAUCAGAGCCGUCUCACCUGCAAGGGCCAGGAUCCAGCACUAGGGCUGCCCUUUAUGUUCAUGCAGCCUCCACUAGGAAGAUCCUCCUUAGCUGCCACCUGCUGUAAAGGGAUCUAUCUAUCUAUCUGUCUAUCUAUCUAUCUAUCUAUCUUUCUAUCUACCUGUCGAGAGAGAGAGAGGUUUAUUAUAAGGAAUUGACUCAUGUGAUUAUGGAGGCUGAGAAGUUCCACAGUCUGCUGUCUGCAAGCUGGAGACCCAGGAAGGCUGCUGGUGCCGUUCCAGUUUGAUUCUGAAGGCCUGAGAACCAGAACUGAUGCCCACUCAACAUGAAGAUGACAAGGAUGAAGACCUUUAUGAUGAUCCAUUCCCACUUACUGAAUAAUAUCAAGCAUUUUAUUCAACUAUGGAAUGGAAGCAACAGAUUACAGCAGCAUUAACAAGACCUGGGAUACCAUCACCAAUCAAAAUCAUGGAUAUUUCAUAGCACAAGAACGUUGUUUCAGAAUCUCAAAGUACUCCUCCUACUCAACAUGACUUUGAAAUUGCAAUAGUUGUUAGAACGGUCACUGCAGUUUGAUAUAUGAUGUGUUUACAAAGAGGCACAUAUAUUGCUCUUUCAGAAUUAUAACUCUGUAUGCAUUUCAAUGUAAUUGGUUUCCUUUGUCAUCUUCUGAAUUUUAUGUAUUUAAAAAUAUUAUUCUGAUGUUAAUACACAACAAAGAAAGGAUAGAAUUUUCAAUAAAUGGUGUUGGGGAAAUUGGAUAUCCAUAUACAAAAAAUAAAAAUAAAAUUGGAUUCUUAUCUUAAACCCUACACAAAAAUUAACUCAAAA
Molecule: long non-coding RNA, 1017 nt
Organism: Homo sapiens (human)
Lineage: Eukaryota; Metazoa; Chordata; Mammalia; Primates; Hominidae
Gene: ETS2-AS1
Product: ETS2 antisense RNA 1
Source: Ensembl